UGACCCCGCCUGCACAGAGGGAGUUGUGGACAUCCAUUUCUGUGUCACUGGGUUUAGG
This is a microRNA precursor of Oreochromis niloticus (Nile tilapia), 58 nucleotides long. The record is from Ensembl. Lineage: Eukaryota; Metazoa; Chordata; Actinopteri; Cichliformes; Cichlidae.